GACGAACGCUGGCGGCGUGCUUAACACAUGCCAGUCGAACGCGCCUGUCCUCUGGGUUUCUGGGGGGUGGGUGAGUGGCGAACGGGUGAGUAACACGUGAGUAACCUGCCCCCUUCUUUGGGAUAACGGUCUGAAAGGGCUGCUAAUACCGGGUAUUCACUGGUCUCCGCAUGGGGUCUGGUGGAAAGGUUUUUUUCUGGUGGGGGAUGGGCUCGCGGCCUAUCAGCUUGUUGGUGGGGUGAUGGCCCACCAAGGCUUUGACGGGUAGCCGGCCUGAGAGGGUGACCGGUCACAUUGGGACUGAGAUACGGCCCAGACUCGUACGGGAGGCAGCAGUGGGGAAUAUUGCACAAUGGGCGCAAGCCUGAUGCAGCGACGCCGCGUGAGGGAUGGAGGCCUUCGGGUUGUGAACCUCUUUCGCCCGUGGUCAAGCCGCGACGUGGGUCGUGGUGAGGGUAGUGGGUAAAGAAGCGCCGGCUAACUACGUG
Molecule: ribosomal RNA, 488 nt
Filed under: uncultured bacterium
Lineage: Bacteria
Description: partial 16S ribosomal RNA
Rfam family: Bacterial small subunit ribosomal RNA
Source: RNAcentral